Molecule: unclassified non-coding RNA, 274 nt
Filed under: Ceriporia sp.
Lineage: Eukaryota; Fungi; Basidiomycota; Agaricomycetes; Polyporales; Irpicaceae
Description: partial internal transcribed spacer region
Rfam family: Eukaryotic small subunit ribosomal RNA (bases 1-46)
Source: RNAcentral
AAGUCGUAACAAGGUUUCCGUAGGUGAACCUGCGGAAGGAUCAUUAUCGAGUUCUGAACGGGUUGUAGCUGGCCUUUCACAAGGCAUGUGCACGCCUGGCUCAUCCACUCUUUAACCCCUGUGCACUUUUCAUGGAUCAGAAGGAAGGCUGAGGAUCUAUUCUCAGUUUGAUUUCUGCUCUGUGUAAUUUUUCUACCAACCCUGUUCAAUGAAUGUCUACUUGCGGAUAACGCAAACAAUAAAAUAACUUUCAGCAACGGAUCUCUUGGCUCUC